This 377-nucleotide non-coding RNA is filed under the name Rhizophagus irregularis DAOM 197198w. Its description in RNAcentral is "Eukaryotic large subunit ribosomal RNA". It matches the Rfam family "Eukaryotic large subunit ribosomal RNA", at positions 260 to 588 of the family's 3401-position model. The record is from Rfam by way of RNAcentral. Lineage: Eukaryota; Fungi; Glomeromycota; Glomeromycetes; Glomerales; Glomeraceae.
AAGAGUCAAGUUGUUUGGGAUUGCAGCUUAAAAUGGGAGGUAAAUUUCUCCUAAGGCUAAAUAACGGCGAGAGACCGAUAGCGAACAAGUACCGUGAGGGAAAGAUGAAAAGAACUUUGAAAAGAGAGUUAAACAGUACGUGAAAUUGUUGAAAGGGAAACGAUUGAAGCCAGUCGUACCUUCGGGUAAUCAGCCUUUUGGGUGUGAUUUUGUGGAGCGUGAAGAGUUAAACGCCUUCAUGCUUGCAUAUUCGUGCACUUUGGGUGUACUUGCCCGUGUGGUUGGUUAACAUCAAUUUUGGUGGUCAUAAAAUGACUGGGGGAAUGUAGCUUCGAUCUUGUAUUGAAGUGUUAUAGCCUUCGGUAGAUGUGAUGAUC